UACAGAGGUCUCAAGCGUUGUUCGGAUUCAUUGGGCGUAAAGGGUGCGUAGGCGGCGCGGUAAGUCGGGUGUGAAAUCUCGGAGCUUAACUCCGAAACUGCAUUCGAUACUGCCGUGCUUGAGGACUGGAGAGGAGACUGGAAUUUACGGUGUAGCGGUGAAAUGCGCAGAUAUCGGGAGGAACACCUGUGGCGAAGGCGGCCCCCUGGUUGGAUACUGACGCUGAUACGCGAAAGCGUGGGGAGCAAACAGG
This 253-nucleotide ribosomal RNA is filed under the name uncultured bacterium. Its description in RNAcentral is "partial 16S ribosomal RNA". It matches the Rfam family "Bacterial small subunit ribosomal RNA", at positions 524 to 776 of the family's 1533-position model. The record is from RNAcentral.